This is an RNA transcript of Populus trichocarpa (black cottonwood), 1459 nucleotides long. RefSeq lists it as uncharacterized. The transcript has 6 exons. NCBI's taxonomy places the organism in Eukaryota, Viridiplantae, Streptophyta, Magnoliopsida, Malpighiales, Salicaceae. The record is from RefSeq and is a predicted model, not a curated record.
AUGUUUUUAAAACCAGAUGGACUCACUAAAAUUAUUUUGUUAAAACAACAGGGACUAAAUAAUAACUGUUUUUCGUUUUUAAGAAUGUCCGUUAUCCUUUCACUGUUCCGUUCACUGCCUCAGUCCUCUACUCAGUGAGAUGAUGAUGAUGGCGGUGGUUCUAGAAGGAACCCAUGGCUUCUUACCCAAUUCUAACCAAUACAUUCUCUGGUUUCCACCACCACCAACAACAACAACCAAUCAAAAACCUCUCUCAACACCGCCAAGAAUAUCAAAACGACACCGUACUCGUCUCACCAAAGCAGCAGCAGCAGAAACGCAAGAAAUCCGAGUCUGUACGAACCGCACAUGCCGUAAACAAGGCUCAUUUCAAACUCUAGAAGUCGUCACCGAUUUAGCCCCUCCGGAUAUAACCGUCAAGUCCAGUGGCUGCUUAGGCCGUUGUGGCUCUGGUCCAAACGUCGCCCUUUUGCCUCAAGGAAUAAUAGUGAAUCAUUGCGGUACCGCUGCUAAAGCUGCACAGUUCAUGGCUACCGCUGCUAAUGUUAGCGAUGGAAAUAUAAGUAAGAGUUUGGAAGCCCUUGCUUUGAGAAAAACAGCUCAGGCUGAAUCCGAUCUUGCAAAUUUCUCCAAGGCCGAGGAAUUACUCUCACUGGCUAUCGAUCUUCAACCAUUUGGUGGUAUCCACAUCAUGUAUAAAUACAGGUCGCUUGCAAGAUUGGCAAUGAGAAACUAUUCGGGUGCUCUUGAAGAUGCAAGAGAAGCUUUAAGAUUAGCUCCUCGAUAUCUUGAGGCUUACAUGUGCGAAGGUGAUGUUUUCAUGGCCAUGGAAGAAUAUGAUGCAGCGGAGAAGUCAUAUUUGACUUGUUUACAGAUAGACCCAUCUAUUCGUCGUUCUAAAUCUUUCAAGACUCGGGUGGAAAAGCUUAACAAGAAGCUAACUGCUGCAAAUAUGCCUCUCAAUCAGCAUGAAUGAAUCCACCUGUGUAUGCAUAUUACAAUCUGAGGGAUUAAAGUCUUGAAGGUUCUCUGCAUCCAGGAAAAUGUUCCUGUGCUGGUCAAAAUAAGCCUGGCAUGACUGGUGUUUUGGAACCCACAAAUACCAUAGAGCAAGCAAUUCAUGAGGCUGCUAGUAAGAUGACUGUCGAUUGAUUGAAGGAUUAGAUGUGGAAGAUACCGUGAAGAGUAAUUCAGGCUCGAGAACGAGUGAGGUGGAGCAGUGAAAUAGGAAACUGGCAACCUAUCAUUAUACCAAUAUCGGAGACAGAUGAGCCUGAGCGGUGUAGCUUAAUUAGUUAGGUUCUAGAUUUAGUUUUUAGAGAUCACCAGUUCGAAUCUCACAAAUUUCAGGGUCACUGGAGACUUACAUAGUCGUUAAUUUCAGGACUUGUGAGAUUAGUCAAGAUGCUCGCAAGUGGUCUGAACAUCCACAUUAAUAAUUAUAUAUAUAAAACAAAAA